CCCUUAGAUGUUCUGGGCUGCACGCGCGCUACACUGAUGCGCUCAACGAGUUUAUGACCUUGCCCGGAAGGGUUGGGUAAUCUUCUUAAAACGCAUCGUGAUGGGGAUAGAUUAUUGCAAUUAUUAAUCUUCAACGAGGAAUUCCUAGUAAGCGCGGGUCAUCAUCCCGCGCUGAAUACGUCCCUGCCCUUUGUACACACCGCCCGUCGCUCCUACCGAUUGAGUGGUCCGGUGAGGCUUUGGGAUCUGAGCGGAAAGAGCGUUUCGCUGUUUCUGCUCGGAAAACUCAGUCGAACCUUAUCAUUUAGAGGAAGGAGAAGUCGUAACA
This 328-nucleotide ribosomal RNA is filed under the name uncultured eukaryote. RNAcentral describes it as "partial 18S ribosomal RNA". It matches the Rfam family "Eukaryotic small subunit ribosomal RNA", at positions 1470 to 1796 of the family's 1831-position model. The record is from RNAcentral.